RNAcentral lists this ribosomal RNA (486 nucleotides) under uncultured bacterium. RNAcentral's name for it is "bacterial SSU rRNA". It matches the Rfam family "Bacterial small subunit ribosomal RNA", at positions 29 to 490 of the family's 1533-position model. The record is from RNAcentral.
AACUAACGCUGGCGGCGUGCCUAACACAUGCAAGUCGAACGAGAAAGUUGGCUUCGGCCGAUGAGUAAAGUGGCGCACGGGUGAGUAACGCGUGGAUAAUCUGCCCUUUAGUUUGGAAUAACGUACCGAAAGGUGCGCUAAUACCGGAUAAUACUGAAUGACUACUGUCGUUUAGUCAAAGAAGGCUUCUGUUUACAUGCUUUUGCUGAAGGAUGAGUCCGCGUACCAUUAGCUAGUUGGUAGGGUAAUGGCCUACCAAGGCGACGAUGGUUAGCUGGUCUGAGAGGAUGAUCAGCCACACUGGAACUGAGACACGGUCCAGACUCCUACGGGAGGCAGCAGUGAGGAAUAUUGCGCAAUGGGGGCAACCCUGACGCAGCAACGCCGCGUGAGUGAGGAAGGUUUUCGGACCGUAAAGCUCUGUCGAGCGGGAAGAAAUGCAUGGUGGCUAAUAUCCAUCAUGCUUGACGGUACCGCUAAAGGAAG